This 512-nucleotide ribosomal RNA is filed under the name uncultured bacterium. RNAcentral's name for it is "partial 16S ribosomal RNA". It matches the Rfam family "Bacterial small subunit ribosomal RNA", at positions 28 to 507 of the family's 1533-position model. The record is from RNAcentral.
GAUGAACGCUGGCGGCGUGCCUAAUACAUGCAAGUCGAACGAAACUUCUUUAUCACCGAGUGCUUGCACUCACCGAUAAAGAGUUGAGUGGCGAACGGGUGAGUAACACGUGGGCAGCCUGCCCAAAAGAGGGGGAUAACACUUGGAAACAGGUGCUAAUACCGCAUAACCAUAGUUACCGCAUGGUAACUAUGUAAAAGGUGGCUAUACUACCGCUUUUGGAUGGGCCCGCGGCGCAUUAGCUAGUUGGUAGGGUAAAGGCUUACCAAGGCAAUGAUGCGUAGCCGAAUUGAGAGGUUGAUCGGCCACAUUGGGACUGAGACACGGCCCAGACUCCUACGGGAGGCAGCAGUAGGGAAUCUUGCACAAUGGGCGAAAGCCUGAUGGAGCAACGCCGCGUGGGUGAAGAAGGUCUUCGGAUCGUAAAACCCUGUUGUUAGAGAAGAAAGUGCGUGAGAGUAACUGUUCACGUUUCGACGGUAUCUAACCAGAAAGCCACGGCUAACUACGUG